UACGUAGGGUGCGAGCGUUGUCCGGAAUUACUGGGCGUAAAGAGCUCGUAGGUGGUUUGUCGCGUUGUCCGUGAAAACUCACAACUCAAUUGUGGGCGUGCGGGCGAUACGGGCAGACUGGAGUACUGCAGGGGAGACUGGAAUUCCUGGUGUAGCGGUGGAAUGCGCAGAUAUCAGGAGGAACACCGGUGGCGAAGGCGGUCUGCUGGGGUCGAACUGACGCUGAGGCGCGACAGCGUGGGGAGCAAACAGG
This 253-nucleotide ribosomal RNA is filed under the name uncultured bacterium. RNAcentral's name for it is "partial 16S ribosomal RNA". It matches the Rfam family "Bacterial small subunit ribosomal RNA", at positions 524 to 776 of the family's 1533-position model. The record is from RNAcentral.